AUGUCCGAGGAAUCACUUGUGCAUGUUGUAUCUAGUGAGGAGGAGGCAAGAGAAAGGAAAAAGAACAAGAGGCGAAGAGCCAAUGCUCUUGUUAGGAUGUCAUCGGAUGUUUGGGCCCAUUUUCACAAGGUCAAAGAGCCAUCGACGGAGCAUCCGGGAGAGAUUGUGUUGAAGGUUGUUUGUAAUUAUUGUCCCAAAAAGAGGUAUGCGUAUACGCAAGGUGGCAGCACCUCAACUAUUGGAAGGCAUAUCUUAAAAUGUGAAGGUUUAAGGAACAAGAUCGCUAGGAAUGCCAUCCAAACAACUCUUGAACUGCGCAAAAUCAAUGAUCCAACAAGUGCUGCAACAAUGCACCCCUCUAUUGAGUACAACCAAGGAAUCGUCAAGGAGCUUAUUGCUAAGAUGAUAUGUGUGCAUGAGUAUUCAUUUAGAAUGGUUGAACAUGAGUGGUUCAACAUUCUGAUGAAGUGCAUGAAUCCAAAUUAUAAACCCAUUGGAAGGAAGGCAAUACGAGCCGAGUGCAUGAGGGUUUACAAGAACGAAAAAGAGGUGCUGAAAUCUCUCCUAAAGGGUGUGAGCUCCAUAUGUCUAACUACAGAUUUGUGGACAAGCAACCAAACCUUAUCUUACAUGUGUGUGGUUGCACACUAUAUAGAUGGGAAUUGGAACUUACAAACC
This 678-nucleotide ribosomal RNA is filed under the name Triticum aestivum (bread wheat). RNAcentral describes it as "partial small subunit ribosomal RNA". The record is from RNAcentral. Lineage: Eukaryota; Viridiplantae; Streptophyta; Magnoliopsida; Poales; Poaceae.